AAGGUAGCCAAAUGCCUCGUCAU
This 23-nucleotide non-coding RNA is filed under the name Arabidopsis thaliana (thale cress). RNAcentral also lists the same sequence under 3 other names. Lineage: Eukaryota; Viridiplantae; Streptophyta; Magnoliopsida; Brassicales; Brassicaceae. The record is from RNAcentral.